CAAAGCCGGUUGGGAAUUAAUGUGGGAUUAAAUUUCGAAUGCAACGUCGAAAAACCCUUACCCUCCCUUGACAUGCUAGGAAGCUCGCAGAGAUGUGAGUGUGCCCGAAAGGUAACCUAGACACAGGUGCUGCAUGGCUGUCGUCAGCUCGCGUCGUGAGAUGUUGGGUUAAGUCCCGCAACGAGCGCAACCCUUGCCAUUAGUUGCCACAUUAAGUUGGGCACUCUAAUGGGACUGCCGGUGACAAACCGGAGGAAGGUGGGGAUGACGUCAAGUCCUCAUGGCCCUUAUGGGUAGGGCUUCACACGUAAUACAAUGGCCGGUACAGAGGGCAGCCAACCCGCGAGGGGGAGCUAAUCCCAGAAAGCCGGUCGUAGUCCGGAUUGCAGUCUGCAACUCGACUGCAUGAAGCCGGUAAUCGCAUAGUAAUCGUCGUUAUACUAGCUACG
This 449-nucleotide ribosomal RNA is filed under the name uncultured bacterium. RNAcentral's name for it is "bacterial SSU rRNA". The stretch from base 14 to 415 matches the Rfam family "Bacterial small subunit ribosomal RNA", at positions 934 to 1329 of the family's 1533-position model. The record is from RNAcentral.